GACAGAUGAGGCAGAAGGGGAAGUUAGGGAGGUUUGAAGAGUGAGAAGAACUUCUGCAGUGGCUGACUUGGAAGAUGAAGGAGGCUAUGAACCAGGGAAUGGGGGCAGCCUCUAGAGGCUGAGAACCUGCUGACGCCCAGCCACAACCACUAAGGAAAUGAAGACUUCAAUUCCACAACUGCAUGCAACUAAAUUCAGCCAACAACCUGAAUAAGUCUAAAAGAGGCUUCUCCAGAGCCUCCGGAUAAGAGGCCAGGCUGGCGACACCUUGAUUUUGACCUUGUGAGACCUAGAGCAGAGAAACCAGCCAAGACUACUCAGACUUCUGAUCUACAGAACUGUGAGACUGUAAAUUUAUGUUGUAUUAAGCCACUAAUUGUGUGGGAAUUUGUUACAGGAGCAAUAGAAAAUGAAUACACCUUCUGAUGUAGUUUAAUCAGUUGACAUUAGGGGUGACACCAAGAUGUGCUACACCGAACCCGACUUCUGCAUGUUUAAGACAAGAUGAAGGUCAAAAAUUUACAUCAGGGACCUGAAUGUGUAGCAUAUACAACUGAGUGUUGAAAGAAGACAAAAUUAUUUUCAUCAUGAAGAAUAUGUGCUCAGUAAGAAUCAGAAUGUUCAAUUGUGUGAAGGUGGGAGAUGGGAAGAUUGGUAUUAUGGCCUUGGAUCCAGAAAUCAGUCUUCCACUAUGGGAAAUGGGAAUUUAAAGAUGAUCAGAAGACAGUUGGGAGCAGAGUGAGAAUAAGAACCCUCAACUGCUGUCUCACCUUUCAGAUCACAAAG
RNAcentral lists this long non-coding RNA (786 nucleotides) under Pongo abelii (Sumatran orangutan). RNAcentral describes it as "lincRNA". The record is from RNAcentral. Lineage: Eukaryota; Metazoa; Chordata; Mammalia; Primates; Hominidae.